UGAAUUCCAGAGGGCUCCAUUACCAUAUUGUUUAAGGUCUUUGUCCUACACAUCUUUAAGGAUGAAGAACUUACAAUAAGAAUAAUGUGGGGAGCGGGCGUUGUGGCAUAGUGGGUUAAGCCGUCAUUUGGAGCUGGCAUCUUCUAUCAGAGUGCUGGUUCAAGUUCAAGCUGCUCUGCUUGCAAUCCAGCUUCUUGCUAAUGCACCUGGGAAGGGGGCAGAUGAGGGCUCCUGCCACCCCAUGGGAGACCAGGAUGGAGUUCCUGGCUCCUGGCUUUGGCUUGGCCCAGCCUUGUCUAUUGUGGCUGUUUGGGGAGCGAACCAGCAAAUGGAAGAUCUCUCUGUUGUUCUAACUUUUGAACAAAUAAAUAAAUAAAUCUUACAAAAAAUAAAAGCACAACAUAUGUGGCAGGGCAUUCCUUUGUGAGCAGCUGUCACGUGGGUGAUUCAGAGCCUCAGUCCUCAGUAUCUUCCUCCUUGAAAUGGGAAUAAUGACAACAUCUGCCUACUUGGGUUGUUGUGGUUUAAAGAGUUAAUGUCUAGAAAGUUCUUGGCACGGUGCCGGUUUCACUGUAGACGCUGCGUGAUUGCUUGUGUGCUUACCUAUCCUUUCCUCCUUGGAAUCCCUUUUAUGCUUUUCUCUUCCAUUCACCCGCUGGAGUCUCGUCCUUGAUCACUGACCCAAGGAGGGGAUGUGACCCCAAAGAUCAGAGGCAAGAAAGCGCUCCUUGCGGCUGUUGAGUUUCAGAAGACAGAAACAAGGCGGAGAUCAUGGAUACUCCACCUGCCACCCCGGCUGGAAACAUCGCAUUUUAGAUCAAGAGGAAAGCAAACGGGGUUGGGAAGUUAUGAGAACUUAGAUGCCAGUAGGCCCCUGAGAAAGGGGCCCAGGAGCCUGGUUCCCAUGUCAGUGUUAGGGACACAGAAGCCAAAACCAACCAACCCCAAAUUGUCAAUCACAAAACAAGAAAAACAACCAAACAAAAAACUCCACAGUAACUUCCUAGCAGCUGAGAACAGAGUGAAUCCAUGUCCUGUCUCUUUAAGAUUCUGGGAUACGAUACUAAUGACUGUCCAUUGUCACUUGGCAGGUGCAGCCUCAAUCCAGCCUAAAUUGUCCUCCAAGACCUGUCUGGGCCCCAGCAUGGUUUCUUGGCCCCCACCAGUGGCAGACAGAGGAUGGGAAUGCAAGCAUCUGGGAUUGAAAUACCACAAUCCAGCGGCUGAAAGGAAGAUUCUCAGACUAGAAACGCAGCCUUGCUCACGGCAUCACUCCACCCUGCUUUCUUGGCCUUAGUAAACGUUUGAAACACACACACAGAAAUGUACAUUUGCAUAGGAGCGAGCCUCAGAGGACACUGCCACCAGCCCCGUGGUGAGGUAGCCAAGCCUCCACCUGGGCGCCCGCAUCCCACAUGGGCUCCGGUUUGUGUCCUGGCUGCCCCUCUUCUGAUCCAGCUCUCUGCUGUGGCCUGGGAAGGCAGUGAAAGAUGGCCCAAGUGCUUGGACCCCUGCACCUGCAUGGGAGACCCAGAGGAGGCUCCUGGCAUUGGAUAAGGUUCAGCUCCAGCCGCUGUGGCCAUCUGGGGCGUGAACCAGUGGAUGGAAGACCUCUCCCUCUGUCUGUAACUCUGCCUGUCAAAUAAAUAAAUAAAUAAAAUCUUAAAAAAAAAAAGG
Molecule: long non-coding RNA, 1677 nt
Organism: Oryctolagus cuniculus (rabbit)
Lineage: Eukaryota; Metazoa; Chordata; Mammalia; Lagomorpha; Leporidae
Source: Ensembl